AGAGUUUGAUCCUGGCUCAGAAUCAACGCUGGCGGCGUGCCUUAUACAUGCAAGUCGUACGCGAAAGCGGCCUUCGGGCCGCGAGUAGAGUGGCAAACGGGUGAGUAUCGCGUGGGUGACCUGCCUUCGAGUGGGGGAUAACCUUCCGAAAGGGGGGCUAAUACCGCAUAACAUCCCGCCCUUGGAUGGGUGGUGAUCAAAGUCGGGGAUCUUCGGACCUGGCGCUUGAAGAGGGACCCGCGUCCGAUUAGCUUGUUGGUGGGGUAGCGGCCUACCAAGGCGACGAUCGGUAGCCGGCCUGAGAGGGCGGACGGCCACACUGGGACUGAGACACGGCCCAGACUUCUACGGGAGGCAGCAGUAAGGAAUUGUUCGCAAUGGGCGCAAGCCUGACGACGCAACGCCGCGUGGAGGACGAAGAUCUUCGGGUUGUAAACUCCUGUCAAGCGGGAAGAACAGCGUGCGGGUUAAUACCCCGCAUGCCUGACGGUACCGCUGAAGGAAGCCCCGGCUAACUCCGUGCCAGCAGCCGCGGUAAUACGGGGGGGGCAAGCGUUGUUCGGAAUUACUGGGCGUAAAGGGCUCGUAGGCGGCCAGCCAAGUCGGACGUGAAAUCCCCGGGCUUAACCUGGGAAUUGCGAUCGAAACUGCCCGGCUAGAGUAUGGGAGAGGGAAGUGGAAUUCCCGGUGUAGCGGUGAAAUGCAUAGAUAUCGGGAGGAACACCAGUGGCGAAGGCGGCUUCCUGGCCCAAUACUGACACUCAGGUGCGAAAGCGUGGGGAGCAAACAGGAUUAGAUACCCUGGUAGUCCACGCCGUAAACGAUGAGAACUAGAUGUCGGGGGGGAUUGGCCCCUCGGUGUCGCAGCUAACGCAUUAAGUUCUCCGCCUGGGGAGUACGCCGGCAACGGUAAAACUCAAAGGAAUUGACGGGGACCCGCACAAGCGGUGGAGCAUGUGGUUUAAUUCGAUGCAACGCGAAGAACCUUACCUGCCCUUGACAUCCUCGGAACUUGGCAGAGAUGCCUUGGUGCCUUCGGGAACCGAGUGACAGGUGCUGCAUGGCUGUCGUCAGCUCGUG
This 1080-nucleotide ribosomal RNA is filed under the name uncultured bacterium. Its description in RNAcentral is "bacterial SSU rRNA". It matches the Rfam family "Bacterial small subunit ribosomal RNA", at positions 8 to 1064 of the family's 1533-position model. The record is from RNAcentral.